This 495-nucleotide ribosomal RNA is filed under the name uncultured bacterium. RNAcentral describes it as "partial 16S ribosomal RNA". It matches the Rfam family "Bacterial small subunit ribosomal RNA", at positions 28 to 507 of the family's 1533-position model. The record is from RNAcentral.
GACGAACGCUGGCGGCGUGCCUAAUACAUGCAAGUAGAACGCUGAAGGAGGAGCUUGCUUCUCUGGAUGAGUUGCGAACGGGUGAGUAACGCGUAGGUAACCUGCCUGGUAGCGGGGGAUAACUAUUGGAAACGAUAGCUAAUACCGCAUAAUAGUAGAUGUCGCAUGACAUUUGCUUAAAAGGUGCAAUUGCAUCACUACCAGAUGGACCUGCGUUGUAUUAGCUAGUUGGUGAGGUAACGGCUCACCAAGGCAACGAUACAUAGCCGACCUGAGAGGGUGAUCGGCCACACUGGGACUGGGACACGGCCCAGACUCCUACGGGAGGCAGCAGUAGGGAAUCUUCGGCAAUGGACGGAAGUCUGACCGAGCAACGCCGCGUGAGUGAAGAAGGUUUUCGGAUCGUAAAGCUCUGUUGUAAGAGAAGAACGAGUGUGAGAGUGGAAAGUUCACACUGUGACGGUAUCUUACCAGAAAGGGACGGCUAACUACGUG